CCCUUAGAUGUUCGGGGCCGCACGCGCGCUACACUGAAGGACUCAGCGUGUCUCUCCCCCUAUCCCGAAAGGGAUGGGCAACCCGUUGAACCUCCUUCGUGCUAGGGAUUGGGGUUUGCAAUUAUCCCCCAUGAACGAGGAAUUCCCAGUAAGCGCGAGUCAUCAGCUCGCGUUGAUUACGUCCCUGCCCUUUGUACACACCGCCCGUCGCUCCUACCGAUUGAAUGAUCCGAUGAAUAUCAUGGAUUGAGGAUUAUAGCAGGUUCGCCUGUCUCGAUCUUCGAGAAGUGAAGUAAAUCUUAUCAUUUAGAGGAAGGAGAAGUCGUAACA
Molecule: ribosomal RNA, 330 nt
Filed under: uncultured eukaryote
Lineage: Eukaryota
Description: partial 18S ribosomal RNA
Rfam family: Eukaryotic small subunit ribosomal RNA
Source: RNAcentral